Molecule: transfer RNA, 69 nt
Filed under: bovine gut metagenome
Rfam family: tRNA
About the family: Transfer RNA (tRNA) molecules are approximately 80 nucleotides in length. Their secondary structure includes four short double-helical elements and three loops (D, anti-codon, and T loops). Further hydrogen bonds mediate the characteristic L-shaped molecular structure. tRNAs have two regions of fundamental functional importance: the anti-codon, which is responsible for specific mRNA codon recognition, and the 3' end, to which the tRNAs corresponding amino acid is attached (by aminoacyl-tRNA synthetases). tRNAs cope with the degeneracy of the genetic code in two manners: having more than one tRNA (with a specific anti-codon) for a particular amino acid; and 'wobble' base-pairing, i.e. permitting non-standard base-pairing at the 3rd anti-codon position.
Source: RNAcentral
CGAUUAGCUCAGUUGGUUAGAGCACCUGCCUUACAAGCAGGGGGUCACAGGUUCGAGUCCUGUAUCGCC